Molecule: ribosomal RNA, 415 nt
Filed under: uncultured bacterium
Lineage: Bacteria
Description: bacterial SSU rRNA
Rfam family: Bacterial small subunit ribosomal RNA
Source: RNAcentral
AUUGAACGCUGGCGGAAUGCUUUACACAUGCAAGUCGAACGGUAGAGGGGGCAACCCCUUGAGAGUGGCGAACGGGUGAGUAAUAUAUCGGAACGUGCCCAGUCGUGGGGAUAACGUAGCGAAAGUUACGCUAAUACCGCAUACGAUCUACGGAUGAAAGCGGGGGACUCGCAAGAGCCUCGCGCGAUUGGGAGCGGCCGAUAUCAGAUUAGGUAGUUGGUGGGGUAAAGGCUCACCAAGCCAACGAUCUGUAGCUGGUCUGAGAGGACGACCAGCCACACUGGAACUGAGACACGGUCCAGACUCCUACGGGAGGCAGCAGUGGGGAAUAUUGGGACAAUGGGCGCAAGCCUGAUCCAGCCAUGCCGCGUGUGUGAGAAGGCCUCGGGUUGGUAAGUACGACUUUCUAGUACGA